RNAcentral lists this long non-coding RNA (636 nucleotides) under Hordeum vulgare. Its description in RNAcentral is "long non-coding RNA (HVUL_LNC015142)". Lineage: Eukaryota; Viridiplantae; Streptophyta; Magnoliopsida; Poales; Poaceae. The record is from RNAcentral.
UUUUUGAGGGAGUCUAAGGAUCUGUUAUGCAAGUGACAUUUUUUAACUAGUUCCAAUUGGGCAAAAUUAAUUAACUUUGCAAGCGUAACAUGUUUUACAGUUAUAUGCAUAUAUCAGGUUCAGAUAUUUGGCACUAAAUGCAAGUCAGCAAGUGUACCAUUUCUAGCAACGAAACAGAUAAACAAGUUUAGCAUAGCAUAAAUGUAUUCUUCACGGUUUAACAUAGAAAAAUAUGAAUAGUAAGAACUUGAAUAAUGAAAACAGACUAAGUUCAAUGGUAUGAGUAUGAAUAAGCAUAAAGCACCAAAAGUACUAUCAAUGAACAGGGGAUAUAAAAAGGAUCUGUAUUUUUUUCAUUUUCGUUUUUUGAGGGAGUCUAAGGAUCUGUUAUGCAAGUGUAACAUUUUUUUAACUAAUUGUAAGAGGGCAAGAUUGAAAUGAAUAACUAAUUGCAAAUAUAAGAACUUUUACUGUUAUAUGCAUAUAUCAGGUUCAGAUAUUUGGCGAUGAAAUAAAUACUAGAGCAUCAUGCCUAACCAAUAGUAAAAUGAGGGGAGACACAGGGUUACCGGGGCAGGAGAGGAGACUUACUGACGCGGCAGCGGCGGUAGGAAGAGAAUGUAGAGAAAAGGCCCC